AUGCUGGAAGCGAAGCUUAUCUAUAAACAAGAAACAUCCGGCUAUAAACAAGAAACAUCCGGUACGACGUUCAGGUGAAAUAGAGGGAGAAAGAAAGAGAUGGAGAGAGAUUAGAGGAGGGAGACGGCGUAAAGGACAAGGAGGCUGCCCAUCGUCGUUAGAGGGAGUCUUCGCGUUGGCAUCAUUGCCAUCCACACGCUUAGCCUGAUUGUAUUCCGGCGAACCUAGGGUUCUGCCGUGAUUUUCGACGGUGGUGGAUAGGGUCAAAUCGACCACCAAAACCAGCGGCGGCUAGGGUUUCGUGGUGUAAGGGGUUGCUGAUGAGAUUCAGAUCCCACUCAGGCAGAUUUUUGUUGAGUUUCUUGAGAGAAACGGAUUGGUGGUGUUUUAAAUGGAGUUCAACGCAGAGCUUCGUAGAAACUCAAGGCUAAAAGCACCAAGAAGAUUGUGCUAAGGUUACAAGCAUGUGUCCCAGCAUCCAAUUAAGAGAUGCAAACAUUUUGACAUUGUGGAGACAAGAAGGCCAAUGGAACUAAACAAAAAAAGAUGCAAACAUUUUGGCAUUGGUGCAGAGAUGCAAACAUUUUGACAUUUGUAUACGUG
RNAcentral lists this long non-coding RNA (603 nucleotides) under Helianthus annuus (common sunflower). The record is from RNAcentral. Lineage: Eukaryota; Viridiplantae; Streptophyta; Magnoliopsida; Asterales; Asteraceae.